This is a long non-coding RNA of Balaenoptera acutorostrata (minke whale), 927 nucleotides long. RefSeq lists it as uncharacterized. Lineage: Eukaryota; Metazoa; Chordata; Mammalia; Artiodactyla; Balaenopteridae. The transcript has 6 exons. The record is from RefSeq and is a predicted model, not a curated record.
CGUGAGGACACAGCUAGAAGGGCGGUCAACUGCAAGCCAGGAAGAGACAGUGCCCCCUGCCCUUGGAACCUGCUGCCACGACAAAGCACCACAGACUGGGGGGUGUCAACAACAGAAAUUUAUUUUCUUGCAGUCCUGGAGGCUGGAAGUCCGAGAUCAAGGUGUCGGCAGGUAUGUUCCUGGCGGUCUUGGGUAUCACAGUAAUUUGCUGCUGAAGAAGGGAAGCAGGAAUUCUUGGUGGACUUGAGGGAAGGAGGAAGGGGGGGCGGCUUCCCAAGGAUUCCCAUGAGACAAAGAGCCAUCAAACUGGCACAGCUUGGGAAGGAGAAGAAAGAAAGGAGUGUCUAUCUCAGAGACUGGCCAAAGAGAGCAAGAACCCCAUCUGGGAGACCACAGGACAUUUAAGCUCCUGAGGCUAGCCUUGGCUCUGACGGUUUCUCAGCCUUUCCUUGUUUUGGAUGAACCUGGCAGUGUUGAAGAGGACUGGUCAGUAUGAAAAAUUUCAAACAGACAAAAAAGUUGAAAGAAUGUUACAGUGAAAAAAAACAAAUAAUCUAAUUAUAAAAUGGUCAAAGGACCUGAACAGACAAGUUUCCGAAGAAGAUAUUCAGAUGGCAAACAGGUACAUGAAAAGGUGAGAGUACGCUUACAGAAGUGAGGGGUUUUUAUUGAUGCGACUGACCAUGAUUUGUAACUGAUCAUUAUUUGUAAAAUGCUGCGCAAACACUAGCGACCUCUGCACAGACACGAAGGUUCCUCCUAAAGGUAAAGGGAUCGUUAUGCUGUGGGGUGAUAUAACACUAUGAGCGGCAUUCUACUGGAUGUCGCUGUUCAGCCGAGCUCUGUUGGGCCGCCUGUGCGAGCAGCGCGGUACCUGCGCGGGGGCCGCAGGUGGGAGCCGCCACCGAGGGGGCGCGGGGAGCCCGA